GAUGAAGAACGCAGCGAAAUGCGAUAAGUAAUGUGAAAUGCAGAAUUCAGUGAAUCAUCGAAUCUUUGAACGCACAUUGCGCCCGCCAGCAUUCUGGCGGGCAUGCCUGUUCGAGCGUCAUUUCAACCCUCGAGCCCGACUUCCUUGCGGAGGACGGCUCGGCGUUGGGGGACGGCACACUCCCCCCGGCUCGCCGGGGACGCCGCCCCCGAAAUUCAGUGGCGGCCCUCGGAGGCGACCUCUGCGUAGUAACUCAACCUCGCAAAGGGAAGCUCCGAGCGGCCACGCCGUGAAACCCCAACUAUAUCAAGGUUGACCUCGAAUCAGGUAGGACUACCCGCUGAACUUAAGCAUAUCAAUAAGCGGAGGA
Molecule: unclassified non-coding RNA, 370 nt
Filed under: soil metagenome
Description: partial contains 5.8S ribosomal RNA, internal transcribed spacer 2, and large subunit ribosomal RNA
Rfam family: 5.8S ribosomal RNA (bases 1-120)
Source: RNAcentral